AUUGAACGCUGGCGGCAUGCCUAACACAUGCAAGUCGAACGGGGCGCUUCGGCGCCUAGUGGCGGACGGGUGAGUAAAGCGUAGGAAUCUGCCUUGUAGUGGGGGGACAACCUGGGGAAACUCAGGCUAAUACCGCAUACGCUCGCGAGAGGAAAGCGGGGGGAUCUUCGGACCUCGCGCCGCAAGAAGAGCCUACGUCCGAUUAGCUAGUUGGUAGGGUAAAAGCCUACCAAAGCGACGAUCGGUAGCUGGUCUGAGAGGAUGGAUCAGCCACACUGGGACUGAGACACGGCCCAGACUCCUACGGGAGGCAGCAGGUGGGGAAUAUUGGACAAUGGGCGCAAGCCUGAUCCAGCAAUGCCGCGCGGGUGAAGAAGGCCUGCGGGUUGUAAAGCCCUUUAAGUGGGGAGGAACGGCGGGAUGCGAACAGUGUUCUGCUCUGACGUUACCCACAGAAUAAGCACCGGCUAACUCCGUGCCAGCAGCCGCGUAAU
This 494-nucleotide ribosomal RNA is filed under the name uncultured bacterium. RNAcentral describes it as "bacterial SSU rRNA". It matches the Rfam family "Bacterial small subunit ribosomal RNA", at positions 29 to 524 of the family's 1533-position model. The record is from RNAcentral.